Molecule: long non-coding RNA, 2257 nt
Organism: Callithrix jacchus (white-tufted-ear marmoset)
Lineage: Eukaryota; Metazoa; Chordata; Mammalia; Primates; Cebidae
Source: Ensembl
UACAGAACUGUGAGCCAAUUAAACCUCCUUUCUUUAUAAAUUACCCAAUCUUCCAUAUUACUUUAUAGCAGUGGGAGAAUAAACUAAUACAGAAAUUGGUACCAGGAGUUGGAUAUUGCUGUAAAGAUACCUACAAAUGUGGAAGCAGCUUUGGAAUAGGGUAAUGGGCAGAGGCUGGAAGAGCAUAGAGGACUCAGAAGGUGACAGGAAGAUGAGGGAAAUUUUGGAACUUCUAGAGAUUUGUUGAAUGGUUGUAAUCAUAAUGUUAAUAGUCAGUGAAGGCCAGGCUAAGGAGGUCUCAGAUGGAGAUGAGAAACUUAUUGGGAACUAGAGCAAAGGUCACAUUUGGCAAAGAGCUUCAUUCGAUUAUGCCCGGGCUCUACGGAUCUGUGAAACUUGGAACCUGAGAGUAAUAAUGUAGAGCAUGAGUCCCCGAACAAUGAGCCACAGAUAAGUAUCAGUCUGUGGCCUGUUAAGAAACAGGCUACACAGUAGGAGGUAAGCAGCAGGCAAGCAAGUGAAGCUUUACCUGUAUUUACAGCCACUUCCCAUUCUUCACAUUACUGCCUGAGCUGGGCCUCCUGUCAGAUCAGCAGUGGCAUUCAAUUCUGACAGGAGCAUGAACCCUAUUGUGAGCUGUGCCUAUGAGGGAUCUAGGUUGUGUGUUCCUUAUGAGAAUCUAAUGCCUGAUGAUCUGUCACUGUCUCCCAUUGCCCAUGGAUGGGACUAUCUAGCUGCAAGAAAAUAAGUUCAGGGAUCCCACUGAUUCUACGUUAUGAUCUCUGUCACCUGUGCAUGCAAUGAGCUGUCCACUGUAUCUUCAGUCAAGCCACAGAUAAAAAUGUUAACUGAAGCACAAGUUCAAAGUCUGAGGCACAAGUCCUGCUCAUCACCCAAUGUGAGGAAGAAAGGAAUGGCUUAUAGGAGUGUACACCUAUGCCCUUUGAAAAACGGCAGACUAAGUCAUUUUUAAUCACUUCACUUUAACCCUCUGGGUCACCACAUUUACCUGAAGUGCACUUAAAGUUGUAGAAUCUAAGACCAUUUGAAAAUUGUCAUUGGCAUUAGUUCUCGUUUCUUUUUUUAAAUAUAGACUAAAUCACAAUUCAAACUUGUGAACUCUAUUAAUAUAUCUGAGCAGUAGAAUUAAUAAUUUUCAGUUAAUUUUUAAACUCUCUGUUCUAGGUACUAAGUCACAGCCUGAAGAAGUUCAUGGUCUAGUGAAACACACAAAUAUAUAGAUAGAUCAUCAGCUGUAUGUUUUCAAGUACUAAAACAGAGGUAUUCAUGACUAUGUCCAAAGGGUCAUAACCAAAUUCCUACCCACAUAAUUAAAAGUAUUUUAGAGCUGGCAAAUAUUAUAUAGACUGUCAAAUCCAAUCUUUUAAUUAUAUCCAGAAACUGGCUCAGAAAAGGGAACCGGCUUGCCCAAGUUCACAUAGCUAGCUGACAGACAAGAACUCAGAUGUCUGAGUAUCUAUGGAAAUGUCCUUCCCCUACACUCCCCUUGACAAUGUCCUCCUGUACCAAUAAAUAUGUGCAAUUGUUUUUAUAUAAUGGUGGAAUAUCCUAAGAGUCAUCCUUCUGAGGAAUCUGAUAAUCUAGGAUUGAAGGUAUAGAUGAAGAAUAAAUAAGAAACGUGUAUUCUAUUUAGUCUUUAUCCCAGAAUACAUCUGUGGAAUUAAACGUACAUGCUCAUGCACAAUUCAAUUCCCUCCUAUUCCAAUUUCAGCUCUCAUUAGUUGGUUUUACCCCCCUCCUCUGUGGGGUACAGGGAAAUACAAUAAUGAUACCUUAUUAAUUAAGGAUUUAUGCUCAUUAGUUUUUAAUUAAUUCAUUCUACAAAUAUUUAUUGACUUUCUACUACGUGAAAGGUCCUUUUGAAACGAGAAAAUUUCCCUUGUACCCCUCAUGGGCCAUGCAAUGGGGGUGUGUCUCGCUUUUUCUGUGCUCCACUGCUCGAACCUCUAAGGGAACAUACAGACGGGCAGGUUGUGGGGCUCUGAUGCCACGACAGUGUCUAGAGGUAAAUGUUUACACUUGAAGCCCCAGUGGGCAUGGGUUACAGGGUGCUCUCUUAGUUCAGUGGUCCAUAGGCAGCUUGUGUUAACCAGCUCAGUUAGACCCUCUACAUUGUCACUAGGACAGAGGGCUUUCUGCAUCCUGGAUUCUUGCCUUGGUGUUCAGAAGAAUCAUAUCACACCUGGGAUUGGAGAAUAAGUUCAAGGUUUUAUUGAGUGGACGUGGCUCUCAGCAG